RNAcentral lists this ribosomal RNA (767 nucleotides) under Rhizophagus sp. (in: glomeromycetes). RNAcentral describes it as "SSU rRNA". It matches the Rfam family "Eukaryotic small subunit ribosomal RNA", at positions 314 to 1083 of the family's 1831-position model. Lineage: Eukaryota; Fungi; Glomeromycota; Glomeromycetes; Glomerales; Glomeraceae. The record is from RNAcentral.
AUCAACUUUCGAUGGUAGGAUAGAGGCCUACCAUGGUGGUAACGGGUAACGGGGUGUUAGGGCACGACACCGGAGAGGGAGCCUGAGAAACGGCUACCACAUCCAAGGAUGGCAGCAGGCGCGCAAAUUACCCAAUCCCGACACGGGGAGGUAGUGACAAUAAAUAACAAUACGGGGUUCUUUAGGAUCUCGUAAUUGAAAUGAGUACAAUUUAAAUCUCUUAACGAGGAACAAUUGGAGGGCAAGUCUGGUGCCAGCAGCCGCGGUAAUUCCAGCUCCAAUAGCGUAUAUUAAAGUUGUUGCAGUUAAAAAGCUCGUAGUUGAAUUUCGGGGCUAGUAGGUUGGUCAUGCCCCCGGUAUGUACUGAUCUCACUGAUUCCUCCUUCCUUAUGAACCGUAAUGCCAUUAAUUUGGUGUUGCGGGGAAUUUGGACUGUUACUCUGAAAAAAUUAGAGUGUUUAAAGCAGGCUAACGCUUGAAUACAUUAGCAUGGAAUAAUGAAAUAGGACGUUCGAUCUUAUUUUGUUGGUUUCUAGGAUUGACGUAAUGAUUAAUAGGGAUAGUUGGGGGCAUUAGUAUUCAAUUGUCAGAGGUGAAAUUCUUGGAUUUAUUGAGGACUAACUACUGCGAAAGCAUUUGCCAGGAUGUUUUCAUUAAUCAAGAACGAAAGUUAGGGGAUCGAAGACGAUCAGAUACCGUCGUAGUCUUAACCAUAAACUAUGCCGACUAGGGAUCGGAUGAUGUUAAUUUUUUAAUGACUCAUCUCG